Molecule: long non-coding RNA, 266 nt
Filed under: Erythranthe guttata (spotted monkey flower)
Lineage: Eukaryota; Viridiplantae; Streptophyta; Magnoliopsida; Lamiales; Phrymaceae
Description: long non-coding RNA (EGUT_LNC001117)
Source: RNAcentral
GGGAUCGUGCCCCUUGUUAGACCUCAUGGGUCGUAAAUAUGUUAGGACCGUGACCACGUUUUAAAUGUAGGACCCAAUGAAGACAGAUAGAGAAGUUUAUGAAAUCAAGCUGGCCAGGCUAUAUAGAUUAUCAUAACAUCUCUAAGUGUUCUCAGGGUUAAGGUUGACUUGAGCAAAUAAUUAUGUAGUGGCAGAGCAAUAACACCGAGUGUAAGGGAAAUAAUUUGCUUUAUUCAUUGCUUGAAAAUGUGAAGGUUACAAGCAUA